AGGAAUAUUGGUCAAUGGACGAGAGUCUGAACCAGCCAAGUAGCGUGAAGGAUGACUGCCCUAUGGGUUGUAAACUUCUUUUAUACGGGAAUAAAGUGAGGCACGUGUGCCUUUUUGUAUGUACCGUAUGAAUAAGGAUCGGCUAACUCCGUGCCAGCAGCCGCGGUAAUACGGAGGAUCCGAGCGUUAUCCGGAUUUAUUGGGUUUAAAGGGAGCGUAGGCGGACGCUUAAGUCAGUUGUGAAAGUUUGCGGCUCAACCGUAAAAUUGCAGUUGAUACUGGGUGUCUUGAGUACAGUAGAGGCAGGCGGAAUUCGUGGUGUAGCGGUGAAAUGCUUAGAUAUCACGAAGAACUCCGAUUGCGAAGGCAGCUUGCUGGACUGUAACUGACGCUGAUGCUCGAAAGUGUGGGUAUCAAACAGGAUUAGAUACCCUGGUAGUCCACACAGUAAACGAUGAAUACUCGCUGUUUGCGAUAUACAGUAAGCGGCCAAGCGAAAGCGUUAAGUAUUCCACCUGGGGAGUACGCCGGCAACGGUGAAACUCAAAGGAAUUGACGGGGGCCCGCACAAGCGGAGGAACAUGUGGUUUAAUUCGAUGAUACGCGAGGAACCUUACCCGGGCUUGAAUUGCAACUGAAUGAUGUGGAGACAUGUCAGCCGCAAGGCAUCUGUGAAGGUGCUGCAUGGUUGUCGUCAGCUCGUGCCGUGAGGUGUCGGCUUAAGUGCCAUAACGAGCGCAACCCCUCUCCUUAGUUGCCAUCAGGUCAUGCUGGGCACUCUGGGGACACUGCCACCGUAAGGUGUGAGGAAGGUGGGGAUGACGUCAAAUCAGCACGGCCCUUACGUCCGGGGCUACACACGUGUUACAAUGGCAGGUACAGAGAGACGGUCCCUUGCAAAAGGGAUCAAAUCCUCAAAGCCUGUCUCAGUUCGGACUGGGGUCUGCAACCCGACCCCACGAAGCUGGAUUCGCUAGUAAUCGCGCAUCAGCCAUGGCGCGGUGAAUACGUUCCCG
RNAcentral lists this ribosomal RNA (1016 nucleotides) under uncultured bacterium. Its description in RNAcentral is "bacterial SSU rRNA". It matches the Rfam family "Bacterial small subunit ribosomal RNA", at positions 357 to 1376 of the family's 1533-position model. The record is from RNAcentral.